AAUCAACGCUGGCGGCGUGCCUCAGACAUGCAAGUCGAACGCGAAAGGUUCCUUCGGGAACCGAGUAGAGUGGCGCACGGGUGAGUAACACGUAGGUAAUUUGCCUUUGGGUGGGGAAUAACUCAGGGAAACUUGAGCUAAUACCGCAUAAUGCAGCGGCUCGACAUCGAGACAGUUGUUAAAGCGGGGGAGUCGCAAGACCUCGCGCCUAAAGAAGAAGCCUGCGGCAGAUUAGCUAGUUGGUAGGGUAAUGGCCUACCAAGGCAACGAUCUGUAACCGGCCUGAGAGGGCGGGUCGGUCACACUGACACUGACAUACGGUCAGACUCCUACGGGAGGCAGCAGUCGGG
Molecule: ribosomal RNA, 350 nt
Filed under: uncultured bacterium
Lineage: Bacteria
Description: bacterial SSU rRNA
Rfam family: Bacterial small subunit ribosomal RNA
Source: RNAcentral